Molecule: long non-coding RNA, 1738 nt
Filed under: Homo sapiens (human)
Lineage: Eukaryota; Metazoa; Chordata; Mammalia; Primates; Hominidae
Description: HSALNT0323340
Source: RNAcentral
UCACAUUCCGGGGACAUACAAUCGGCUGAUUUUAUCUUCUCUAACUACAUUUCUGCUUCAGAGGCUUUACUUGGUGGGAAUCAUCUUCCAGACUCCCCAAAGCUGGCUUCUGCCCAACUCACAAACCUCAUCUCACAUGUUGCUCUUUUCCCCUCUUUCACCAGUUCCAGGCACACAGACUUCCUGUCAGUUCUUGGUCAAGCAAGUUCUCGUCCACCUGAGGACCUUGUCCUUGCCUGUUCUUCCGUCUGCCUGGAAGGCUUUCUUCUGUCUUCUGUGCCUGGCUCCUUCCCCACCUUCCGGCCUCACUUGAGAUGUGAUCUUCUCUGACCAUCUUAGCUGAAGUUGGCCUCCUCUCCCUUAAUCUCCAUUGAGCUAAACAGUUUCUUUCAUCUAGAACUUACUAUAGUAAUUAUGUGUUUACUAGUUCACUGUCUGGAAUCGUUUACCCUAGAGCAGUCUACGAUGUAAAGCCAGGAUGGUCAAACUACAGCGCAAGCUUUGUUUUUGCAAAGCUCUGGAGCUUCCCUCUCUGCUGGUCACUCAUUCUUCUCUCUCCUGCUGCCAUAUGAAAAAGGACCCGUUUCCUUCCCCUUCUGCCAUGAUUGGACCUGGGAGUGCGACAUGGUGGCCUCAGGGGAAAAGGGCUCUCGUCUAGACCUUCUGACUGUCCUCUGGAUCUUCCUGGUGUCCAUGCGGGGCUGCUGCUCUGGGCUGGCCCCAGGGCCUUUGGCCAGUGUCCAUGAGGUAAACGUGAGAAACUUCUUUCUGGUUGGCUCUUGGCUACAACAGCCCCUGGUGGUUUUCCCCUGCUAAUGCGACCCCACAGGAUCCUAGGAGUUCUAGAAAUUGCUCUGAGUUUAGCUGCAUUUCUGUCAAAUCUCUGAGGCCUCUUUAGGAGGGACGUGUUUUUCUCCGGCCAUGACUGCUCCCAGGCUGGGCCCGCUGCUCUCAGUGCAGUGGCCUUCCUCUCCAUUCUGGGGUGAGAAAAAACUUUCCUUCAUGUCACACAGGAGCUGGGGGCAACUUGGGACAGGUCCCCAAAACUCUCUGUGUCUAACCAGGUUCUCCUGUCCCUUUCCCUUUGCUGCAGCUGAAGCCGUCCCUACCAGGUUGACAAGAAUUGCAUGCAGGGUUCUGGACAGGAAUAUAAUAAGUAUUAAUCAGGCCGCUCUUUGGCGCACUUCCUUUUUGCCGAAAAUCAUGUGGCACUAGAUCCUGACCAUUUGCAUCCCCCAUUGUUCUAUAGAUAGAAUCUCUGACAUUAGAAUCAUAAGGCUUUGGCUUAAGGAUCACUUAAGAUAUUUUUCAGACCCGGAAUUCCAGCAACCAGUUUGACAACUCCUACAGAGAAACAGGAUCCACAUAAGGAUACAGCUUCUUCAUAUCCCUGUCCCAUGACUUCACCCUGCGUUCUUCAACCAAUCAAUGUGUCAGGCCUCUGAGCCCAGGCCUGCACGUAUACAUCCAGAUGGCAUGAAGUAACUGAGGAAUCACAAAAGAAGUGAAACUGGCCGGUUCCUGCCUUAACUGAUGACAUUACCUUGUGAAAUUCCUUCUCCUGGCUCAUCUGGGCUCAGAAGCUCCUCCACUGAGCACCUUGUGACCCCCCACCCCUGUCCGCCAGAGAGCAACCCCCUUUGACUGUAAUUUUCCACUACCUACCCAAAUCCUGUGAAAUGGCCCCACCCCAUCUCCCUUCACUGACUCUAUUUUCGGACUCCGCCCGCCUGCACCC